Amborella trichopoda is the source of this 971-nucleotide long non-coding RNA. RefSeq lists it as uncharacterized. NCBI's taxonomy places the organism in Eukaryota, Viridiplantae, Streptophyta, Magnoliopsida, Amborellales, Amborellaceae. The record is from RefSeq and is a predicted model, not a curated record.
CUUGCUCUCAGCGCAUUAGGGUUUUUAUGUCUCUCUAGGGUCAUUCCGGUCAUAACAGUAUCGCCAAGUCCAUCUAUAUAACCAUCACUGGCCCUUCAACGAUAUUCAAACCAAUGCUCUCUCCCUCUAAUUUUAGGGUUUCUGUCACAUUGCAUCUCCUCGUUAUAUCGAACCAGAGGUGGUCUUGGUGCUUCGUUCUGGGGUAUCUUGUUCUUGCUCUAGGGUUUCUCCUCAACAAUACUUUCAUGUUUGACGGAUUUCUUAAGGGAAGUUUCAGACGCCAUGGUUCCUGUUCUUCCCAAACAAUCGACAAGCCAAGGACAACACCCUGUUGAGUCACUCGAAGGUGAUCUUUGGUGGCCAUGGAUUAAGAGUUUCAGACCAGGGCAAGCAAUUUGUUGGGGGACCUCAUGGGAAACCAAUGAAGAAAUCCUUAAAGAUCACUUCUAAGCAAUGUGGUUAAGUUCUUGAUUCACUUAUCACUUCAAGCCAUGGAUUCAGACAAGGGCCCAACACACUCCUGAAGUCGUCCUCUUUUGCUCUCAAACCCAUUGGUUGGUGUUGAGCUCUACACUGAUAGCAAAAAGUAGAGGUAGAGAGAGAGAGAGAGAGAGAAGAGAGACUAUGGAGUUCAUAAGGGAACCGUUCUAUAGAUAUUACAGAGAGAGAGGGAUGGGGUAUUUUUUGUGGGAUGGGGUUCAAAAGGAAACCGUUGUAGAGAGAGAUGUAGUGUUUUUGUGUGUGUUGGGGGUGGGGAAGCAUAUAGUGGUUGGGUGGCCACGUGAUGGAUUCAAAAACCCUUUUUAGGUUUAAAAAAAGAGUGUUUUUUUUAAGAGAUGUUGGAAGAGGGGGGUCAUAUGCCUUUUUAAAGGCGUUUGGUUCCCAUAAUCCAUUUUCAGGCCGGUUACAUGAUUCUAAAUGGAUUAUUGGUGGGCUUUUGGGUGGGUAUUCAGCCCAUAUAUAUAUAUAUA